GGCAGCAGGGCAAGACCACUUGCCUGGCAUGAGGGCUCUCGGCCCUGGGGGUGCAGAGCAGCUGGGAGGCCGCUCUCCGUGUGAAACUCCCCGUCAGAUGUCCCUGCGGGAAGGCCGGCGGGGGGGAUGCUCCCCCGGCUCUGGAAUGAUCGCCCCUGGGCAAUCCCUCUGAUCCCUCCGAGGCUGCGGCAGCCUCCCCCUCUCUGCCUGGACUCACGGCCCCCAGCAUGGUUUUCUAACAGCCGAGGGGCCAACGCGUGCCCCUCACUCGGGGGGACCCCCGGAGGUGUCCCUGCUCUGUCACAGGCCUGGCCCUGCCCUGCCCUGCAGCGUGGCCAGAGCCGGAUCUUUCCAGGUGCGUUUCCCAUCCAUAAAUUACCAGAUUGUGCCCCAAAUCCUGGCCCUUGUUGCAAAAAGCCCCCAAGGCAGCAGACAGGGGCAGCACCCUCCGAGGCUCCCCUGAUCCUAGAUCCAUCCCUGAGCUCCCAUCUUCCUCACGGCUCUUCCUCCCAGACACCGGGGACAGCUUUUACCAGACGAAAGGACGCAAAUAUUUCCCCAGAUUAUUUCCCUUCUGAGGAAAAGGGGGAAAUCGCUGCCUUCCCCGGCUGGCAAGGAGCAGCAGAGAGACGGACGGAGCCCAGGGCUCCCCCAGCCCUGCCGGAGAUCCAGCCCCACAGCAGCAAGGGCAGGAUGCAGCAGCGGGGCCGGAGCAGGGAGGAUAAAUAAAGUCCGGCUUUGCCUUCCUGGCUCGUGGCCACUUCUAACACAAAGUACAUUCCGGUCUGGACGUAACGAACUGUACCAGCCUCCGCCGGGGAGGGCGGAUGGCUGGGGGUGCCGGGGCUGCCCGGUGGGGGUCGAGCUGGCGCCUCCGCCCGGGGCUGGGUGCAGGGGGGCCAGGGGGAUCAGUCCCCCCGAGGACGCUCGGCUGUGCCCUGCCCCGGAGAUGCUCCUGCCAGACGGAUCUGAGAGCCGAGAGCCGCUGGAGAUCGCCCGCAGCUCUGAGGGGACAUCUUCAAGGACUCCACUCACAGCCCCGAGGCCGGCCCUGAGGAUGGAGGAAAGGCUGAGAUCCUCACCUCAGCUUCAGGGGGAAAAAGUCAGAGUGGGAAAGCAGGAGCAUGUCUGACGUUGUUCCCUCUGUCACAGACACAGGCGAAGCCAAAGCAGCCGUGAAAAGUCAUCAACAAUUGGUUUUGGCAAGAAGAGGCAAACCAGAGCUUUCCAUGAAUUUAUUUUUUUUUCUUUUUGCUAGAAAGGUUGCUCUUCUCCCAGAGAGAGUUUGAAGGAUGGCUUCUGGCCAGCAUCAUCCCAAAGCCAUCUCCCUGGGACAGUGAAAACCUGGCCCAGAUUUAGGAAAACCCUAAGUCACAGGAGCAGGCCCCCACAUCCCUGGGGUCUGUACCCACUGUGCCCCACAACGUGGAGCUGCCAUGGACAGCUUGGGGUGUCCCAGACCAGCAGAGGGUGGUGGGGGCAGACUGGGGUAUCUCCCCAAGGAUUUGGGAUUCCCCAAAUCCCUGGUGCUGGCUGGGGCAUCCCAAACCCUGCAGGGAUGUGUUUCAUCCCUCUGGAUCCUGCUGCGGCCAAGGGACACCCUGAGAGGGGCUACUGCUCCCCCAGGAGCCCCAGGCACCCCCAGCCACAUCCUGAGGACCACCAGGGGUAAAGGCUUAUGGGGGGAACAAACCCCAGAGCCAAGAGCAGGAAGGGAGCCCCAGGUGCCUCUGUGCACCCCAGGUGGCUCUGUGCACCCCCAAACACCUCUGUGCACCCCCAAACACCUCUGUGCACUCCGGAUGGCUCUGGGCAGCCCCUCAGAUGGCACAAACAGCCCUGAACUGCCCCAAAGCCCCCCCUGUGCCCCCCAGCCCAAGGCCCAGGAGCACCUCUGACCCUGCUGCAGGAUCAGGCCCAUUGUUCCCCCCAGGGCUGCAGCAAACCGGGGCAGCAAACUGUCCCCAAAGUGUGUGUGGGGACAUGGAAUUAACCAGGUCUGCCCGGGGUCUUCCACCACUGAGAUCACCGUCCUAAGCUGGAGCUGCAGGGCUGCUGCCUGUCCCUCCCACCGUGGGGGCCAGGGGCUGCUCAGCCCCCCCAAAAAACCCCAUUUCCCCCGUGCCGGGGCUGGGGCUGGCAGCCCCUCUGUCCCCGGGGUGAGGGCUGCGGGAGCGAACACCCACGGACACACACACGGCUUUUCCUUGGAGUGUUUGGCAAGGCUGGGAGUGGGGGGACUUUUCUGGGGGUGUCGGCAAAGCUGGGCACUGGGGGGGCACCCAACUGGAGCUGCAGCGAGCUGGGGGUGCAGGGACACCCCGGGACGGGCAGAGAGCGAGUUUCAGCGCAUCUGCGCAGAAAUUAGAAAGAAAUCAAGAAGGAGAGAAAGAAGACGAGGAAAAGGCGAUGUUUGGGGCAGAGAAAAGGGUUAAAGCAGUGCAGAGGGGGAGAGGUGAAGGCCGAGGGCUGGCGGAAAGGGGGGAGAGGCGGGGAGAGGUUGGGGAGCGGGAGCUGGGCUGGGUGAGAACAUCCUGUACCCUCGGUAACAGCGGCCAGGGCGGGGUGAGGGGGCACUGGGGCGGGGGGAUGUGCCACACACCUCGCUGGGAAGUGGGGCACCCCUUGGGUCACCCGGAGGGGACGGGCUUGCACACUGGGGGGCAAUCCUGCUGACGGGGCGAGCCUGGGGAGGGUCUCGGGCUGCCCUCGGUCCCUUCAGUCUCACAUUCCCCGCUGCUUUCUAAUCAAGCAGGGAGAUCCCUGUGCAGGGCAGAGGAGGAGGAAGGGGCACCCCAAUGCUGGUACCCCUCCUUCCCCCGUCCCCCGAGUCUCCCCACCGCAGCCAAGCCCUCCUGCACAAGGAUGCCCCGCUCACCCCGCGCUUUGCCCUGAGCCUGUCCCCACCCUGCCGGGGUCCCCCUGUCCCCAGGGCUGCCAGCACCCCACAAGCGCCAGGGGCCCCUUCCUGUGUUUGUUAAGACGCCGUGAGUCAGGCGUCUGGUUUUCGGUUCAAGCCAAUAUUUACCAGCCGAGAGCUGCCAAAACAAAGCUGCGGCUUCACCAGUAAAUAUAGGGCUGAGAUGGGGUGGGUGGAGAGGAGGGGGAUUUAUGCGACCCCCACCUCAGCACAGCCACCCCCUUCCCACCUCUCUGGUGCCCCCAUCGUCCUCCUGCCAGCCUAGGGACACCACAAAAAUGGGGACACCACAAAAAUGGGGACACCACAAAAAUGGGGACACCACAGAGCCCCCACCGAGCACCCCAGUGUUUAGCCCUGCCUGUCCAGCCCCAAACAUCACUGCCCCCCCUUUUCCCCCACUGCAGGACUCGAGGGGUGUCAGAGCUUGGGGGGCAUUUCAGGGAGCCCAAGGCUGCGCUGCCCUGGGCUGGGGGUCCCUGCCGUGCUGGGGUCCCCGGGCCGUGGGCACGGUGCCGCUGCCCUCUGCCGGGGCUGGGCUUUGCUCACAUCCUGCCCCUGCCAAGAGCACAAAGCCCGGCCAGAGGCAGGCAGGGCUCCCCGCUGCGUGUCCCAGCAAAUGCCAGCCUCGCCGGGGCGCUCCCACUGCUGGGGACCCCGCGCAGAUGGGGAGUCCAGGGACAGACCCCUGUCCUGUGUCCCCCGGCCUCGCUCUGCCUGGGGCUGGCUGCCUGCUGCAGCAGAGGGGCUGCUGUCCCCAUCCCUUCCCCAGC
Long non-coding RNA from Motacilla alba alba, 3693 nucleotides. RefSeq lists it as uncharacterized. Lineage: Eukaryota; Metazoa; Chordata; Aves; Passeriformes; Motacillidae. The record is from RefSeq and is a predicted model, not a curated record. The transcript has 3 exons.